AGGAUGAACGCUGGCGGCGUGCCUAACACAUGCAAGUCGAACGAGAAAGUGGAGCAAUCCAUGAGUAAAGUGGCGCACGGGUGAGUAACACGUGACUAACCUACCCUUGAGUGGGGGAUAACCUAGAGAAAUCUGGGCUAAUACCGCAUAAUACCUUCGGGUCAAAGGAGCAAUUCGCUUAAGGAGGGGGUCGCGGCCGAUUAGUUAGUUGGCGGGGUAAUGGCCCACCAAGACUGUGAUCGGUAUCCGGCCUGAGAGGGCGCACGGACACACUGGAACUGAAACACGGUCCAGACUCCUACGGGAGGCAGCAGUGGGAAUUUUGCGCAAUGGGGGAAACCCUGACGCAGCAACGCCGCGUGGAGGAUGAAGCCCCUUGGGGCGUAAACUCCUUUCGAUCGGGAAGAUAAUGACGGUACCGAGAGAAGAAGCCCCGGCUAACUUCGCGCCAGCAGCCGC
Molecule: ribosomal RNA, 459 nt
Filed under: uncultured bacterium
Lineage: Bacteria
Description: SSU rRNA
Rfam family: Bacterial small subunit ribosomal RNA
Source: RNAcentral